Molecule: unclassified non-coding RNA, 275 nt
Filed under: plant metagenome
Description: partial contains small subunit ribosomal RNA and internal transcribed spacer 1
Rfam family: Eukaryotic small subunit ribosomal RNA (bases 1-47)
Source: RNAcentral
AAGUCGUAACAAGGUUUCCGUAGGUGAACCUGGCGGAAGGAUCAUUUACAAAGUAAAGCUGGUAGGUAAAGGUGGGGGUUCCGUUGAAUCUGUAAGUGGUGAGCGAACAGUCCGGCUGCCCUCCCUGAAAUGGUCUUACAUGUUCCCCCCACAGCCUGAAGGCCGAAUUACACCCUUAUUAUCUACACUUGUUGCUUUGGGGUGCUCAAGUGCCCCGUAGGAGCCCAACUCUCUUGCAUUUAGUGACGUCUGAGUACUAUAUAAUAUUUGAAAAG